CCGUAGCCCAAGAGAUCGGGAUAACACCUGGAAACAGAUGCUAAUACCGGAUAACGACAGAUGAUGCCUAUCAACUGUUUAAAAGAUGGUUCUGCUAUCACUCUUGGAUGGACCUGCGGUGCAUUAGCUAGUUGGUAGGGUAACGGCCUACCAAGGCGAUGAUGCAUAGCCGAGUUGAGAGACUGAUCGGCCACAUUGGGACUGAGACACGGCCCAAACUCCUACGGGAGGCAGCAGCC
RNAcentral lists this ribosomal RNA (239 nucleotides) under uncultured Lactobacillus sp. Its description in RNAcentral is "partial 16S ribosomal RNA". It matches the Rfam family "Bacterial small subunit ribosomal RNA", at positions 125 to 355 of the family's 1533-position model. Lineage: Bacteria; Bacillati; Bacillota; Bacilli; Lactobacillales; Lactobacillaceae. The record is from RNAcentral.